Molecule: ribosomal RNA, 492 nt
Filed under: uncultured bacterium
Lineage: Bacteria
Description: partial 16S ribosomal RNA
Rfam family: Bacterial small subunit ribosomal RNA
Source: RNAcentral
AGUGAACGCUGGCGGUAGGCCUAACACAUGCAAGUCGAACGGCAGCACAGUAAGAGCUUGCUCUUACGGGUGGCGAGUGGCGGACGGGUGAGGAAUACAUCGGAAUCUACUUUUUCGUGGGGGAUAACGUAGGGAAACUUACGCUAAUACCGCAUACGACCUACGGGUGAAAGCAGGGGAUCUUCGGACCUUGCGCGAUUGAAUGAGCCGAUGUCGGAUUAGCUAGUUGGCGGGGUAAAGGCCCACCAAGGCGACGAUCCGUAGCCGGUCUGAGAGGAUGAUCAGCCACACUGGAACUGAGACACGGUCCAGACUCCUACGGGAGGCAGCAGUGGGGAAUAUUGGACAAUGGGCGCAAGCCUGAUCCAGCCAUACCGCGUGGGUGAAGAAGGCCUUCGGGUUGUAAAGCCCUUUUGUUGGGAAAGAAAAGCAGCAGGUUAAUACCCCGCUGUUCUGACGGUACCCAAAGAAUAAGCACCUGCUAACUUCGUG